Molecule: ribosomal RNA, 814 nt
Filed under: human gut metagenome
Description: bacterial SSU rRNA
Rfam family: Bacterial small subunit ribosomal RNA
Source: RNAcentral
AGCCUGAACCAGCCAAGUAGCGUGAAGGACGACGGCCCUACGGGUUGUAAACUUCUUUUAUAAGGGAAUAAAGUUCGCCACGUGUGGUGUUUUGUAUGUACCUUAUGAAUAAGCAUCGGCUAAUUCCGUGCCAGCAGCCGCGGUAAUACGGAGGAUGCGAGCGUUAUCCGGAUUUAUUGGGUUUAAAGGGAGCGUAGGCGGGCUUUUAAGUCAGCGGUCAAAUGUCGUGGCUCAACCAUGUCAAGCCGUUGAAACUGUAAGCCUUGAGUCUGCACAGGGCACAUGGAAUUCGUGGUGUAGCGGUGAAAUGCUUAGAUAUCACGAAGAACUCCGAUCGCGAAGGCAUUGUGCCGGGGCAUAACUGACGCUGAGGCUCGAAAGUGCGGGUAUCAAACAGGAUUAGAUACCCUGGUAGUCCGCACGGUAAACGAUGAAUGCUCGCUAUGGGCGAUAUAUUGUCCGUGGCCAAGCGAAAGCGUUAAGCAUUCCACCUGGGGAGUACGCCGGCAACGGUGAAACUCAAAGGAAUUGACGGGGGCCCGCACAAGCGGAGGAACAUGUGGUUUAAUUCGAUGAUACGCGAGGAACCUUACCCGGGCUUGAAUUGCAGGUGCAUGAGUCAGAGAUGAUUCUUUCCUUCGGGACUCCUGUGAAGGUGCUGCAUGGUUGUCGUCAGCUCGUGCCGUGAGGUGUCGGCUUAAGUGCCAUAACGAGCGCAACCCUUCUCCCCAGUUGCCAUCGGGUAAUGCCGGGCCCUCUGGGGACACUGCCAUCGUAAGAUGCGAGGAAGGUGGGGAUGACGUCAAAUCAGCAC